This 820-nucleotide long non-coding RNA is filed under the name Brassica napus (rape). RNAcentral's name for it is "long non-coding RNA (BNAP_LNC014337)". Lineage: Eukaryota; Viridiplantae; Streptophyta; Magnoliopsida; Brassicales; Brassicaceae. The record is from RNAcentral.
UGUAUUAAUCAAAAAAAUUAUUUUGUAAAACAAUAAUAGUAAGAGAAAUGUUGCAUAAUUUAGAUAUUUUUUUUCUUGGCAGACCAUAAUAUAGGAUAAUAUUCUAGAUGUGAACAGAUUAAAAAAUUAUUUAUUUUAUUUUAUUUUCAUUUUUACCAGUUUUUUAUUUCACAUGCUUAUUUAUGCUAAGACGAUGAUGAUAUGCAUUACAGAAAAUGAUGAUCAGAAUUCGUCAUUUAGGUGACGCACAAUUUCGAUAUUUAAGAAUUUGUCAAGAGUAAAUUGUUUCAACAUUAAUUGUGGUUAAUGAGAAAAAUAGAAGAGAAUUAAUUUGUUGGUCAACGCUUUGAGUCUAUUGAUCACAGCAUGAGUGGGUUGAGAGUCUCUUGGUAAGUUGGAGUCCCGUCUUCUCUUCUAUCCUUCAUUAACCCAUGUGGUCUUUAAUCUAGAACAAAACUUGUCAAUGUGUUACAAAAAAAGAAGAACAAAACUUGUCUUUUCCUCCACCUAAGAAGAGAAUCUGUUUUACCAAAAAAGACGAAGAAAAGAUUCUUUGUGAAAGUUGAAAUCGAUCUCUUCUUCACUUUUCAUAUAUCUUCUUCAGUUUACUUCGAUUUUUGUGAUAAUCAUAGAUUAUUCAUAGCUCUUUAUUCACUCUUAUUCUUUAGUUGAAAUUGUGUUCCCAGCUUAUUGCCCUUCGAUUUUCAAAGGAGCCGCUUAAUUCGAGGAAGAGUCAUUCCUCUCUAAAAAAAAGGAAAACAAAGAAGUUCUAUAAAAGAAGAUAAAUUAGUUCGGAGAGUUAAAAAUUAUCGCUUACUCA